Molecule: ribosomal RNA, 499 nt
Filed under: Pleosporales sp. MU-61
Lineage: Eukaryota; Fungi; Ascomycota; Dothideomycetes; Pleosporales
Description: eukaryotic LSU rRNA
Rfam family: Eukaryotic large subunit ribosomal RNA
Source: RNAcentral
AAGCGGCAAUAGCUCAAAUUUGAAAUCUGGCCCUUUCAGGGUCCGAGUUGUAAUUUGCAGAGGGCGCUUUGGCGUCGGCAGCAGCCUAAGUUCCUUGGAACAGGUCAUCAUAGAGGGUGAGAAUCCCGUAUGUGGCUGCUUGUCUUCGCCGUGUAAAGCCCCUUCGAUGAGUCGAGUUGUUUGGGAAUGCAGCUCUAAAUGGGAGGUAAAUUUCUUCUAAAGCUAAAUAUUGGCCAGAGACCGAUAGCGCACAAGUAGAGUGAUCGAAAGAUGAAAAGCACUUUGGAAAGAGAGUCAAAAAGCACGUGAAAUUGUUGAAAGGGAAGCGCUUGCAGCCAGACGUGCCCGCAGUUGCUCAUCCGGGGUUCUCCCCGGUGCACUCUUCUGUGGGCAGGCCAGCAUCAGUCCGGGCGGUCGGAGAAAGACCUGUGUCAUGUAGCUCUCUUCGGGGAGUGUUAUAGGGGCAGGUGGAAUGCGACCAGCCUGGGACUGAGGUCCG